CGAGAACUUGGUGAGUAAAACGUCGCCAAUUCCCAGCGUUGCAGCUACAACAGGAAGGAAGCGCGUACAUAAAUUGCCUUUCGUCGCGCGGCCUUUUCCGGUGAAGGCUUUUCAAUGUGAAGGUAGCGAGCGAGCACACAAGUUAGGCUGGAGUUGUUUUUCCUGUAUUCGGGAUUCAAGAAGGCACGCAAGGUCAUCAUUUCUAUUUACAAGAUAACAGAACAGAGAAAGUUGUCACUGUAGCGAAAUAUUAAAAGUGCCACAGAGACGGGAAAAGGCGCUGCGGCAGAACUUGUGGUCAGGGCCGGAAAGCUGAGGAGAUUCCCAGUAGAACGAGGCGGGAUGGGUCGGCACCCGAAGUGCUGGACAGUCUCGCAUGGACGGCACCGGAGCCGUAAUGGAAAUCCGGUUGACGGAGGGGGCCCGUCUCACUUGUCCAUCGGCAACUUCCCGGGUUCUUCCUCACAUGUUGGCGCCUCCCACCGAGGAGAUGACCGUGUGACCGGUCCUUGAAUAUUUUCAAGUCCUUCUUUAUGACGUGCAGUACAUUUCAAUUGGAACAUACUUCAUGCAUUCAACUUUUGCAACCUACAUUCUUGCUGAUAUGUAUGGAAGCUUAUUGCAAAAAAAAUAAAAAAAAUAAAAAAUAAACAACUCCUGA
Phyllopteryx taeniolatus (common seadragon) is the source of this 661-nucleotide long non-coding RNA. RefSeq lists it as uncharacterized. The transcript is spliced from 2 exons. Lineage: Eukaryota; Metazoa; Chordata; Actinopteri; Syngnathiformes; Syngnathidae. The record is from RefSeq and is a predicted model, not a curated record.